AAUGAACGCUGGCGGCGUGCCUAACACAUGCAAGUCGAGCGAGAAAGUUCCUUCGGGAAUGAGUAAAGCGGCGGACGGUUGAGUAACACGUGAGAAUCUACCCUUUAGUGAAGAAUACCUUCGAGAAAUCGAAAUUAAUACUGCAUAAGUCCCUUCGGGGAGAAAAGUGGCCUCUUUGCUACUGCUAAAGGAUGAGCUUGCGGACUAUCAGCUAGUUGGUGAGGUAAAGGCUCACCAAGGCUAUGACGGUUAGCCGGCCUGAGAGGGUGAACGGCCAGACUGGAACUUAGACACGGUCCAGACUCCUACGGGAGGCAGCAGUGAGGAAUAUUGCGCAAUGGGCGAAAGCCUGACGCAGCGACGCCGCGUGGAGGAUGAAGGUUUUCGGAUCGUAAACUCCUGUUAAGUGGGAAGAAAAGUCUGUGGUUAAUACCCGCAGAAAAUGACGGUACCAUUAUAGAAAGCACCGGCUAACUACGUGCCAGCAGCCGCGGUAAU
This 498-nucleotide ribosomal RNA is filed under the name uncultured bacterium. RNAcentral describes it as "bacterial SSU rRNA". It matches the Rfam family "Bacterial small subunit ribosomal RNA", at positions 29 to 524 of the family's 1533-position model. The record is from RNAcentral.